Long non-coding RNA from Canis lupus familiaris (dog), 888 nucleotides. RefSeq lists it as uncharacterized. The transcript has 3 exons. The record is from RefSeq and is a predicted model, not a curated record. NCBI's taxonomy places the organism in Eukaryota, Metazoa, Chordata, Mammalia, Carnivora, Canidae.
UGCAUUCCAUGGUCAUCUUCCUGAAUGAGGGAGCAACCCCUUCUAAGUGUGGCCAGGGGUCUAGGGGUCUCAAGGCCCUCUCAGAAAGGGCUCAUGAAGUCAAAGCUAUUUUCCUAGUAAUACUAAGUAUUUGUUCCUUUUUUAUUCUCUUUUUGUCAUGAGUGUACAGUGGAGUUUUAUAGAGGCUGUGUGACGUGUAAUAGUGUAGCAGACUGCAGAAGCAGCUCUGAGAAUUCACCUGUAUUUUUGGUCAGACAUGAAAGCAGUUUGCAAAAGUGCGAAGCAAUGUGGUUCUUCUUCCUAGGUUUCAUUUCAUUUUGCUUUGAGAAGAACAGUUAAUUUUUCACCAAACAUGAUUUAUGUUAACAUCUAAUAGCUUCAUAUUAUUAUUACUUUUUUGACUUAAAAAAAUUCCAGUAUAAACAUAUAGUGUUAUAUUAGUUUCAAGGGUACAAUAGAGUGAUUCAACAUUUCCAUACAUCAUUCAGUCCUCAUCCUGGUCUUGGAUAUUGCUGUAUGAAGAGGAGAUGCUCAGACCUUUUCCAUCUGCCUUGCAGUCAUGAGGAGACAACUAUUGUAAAUGAACAGAAAUCAAAGAGAAGGCAAGACUGCACACCCUGAAACUUCUUAUCAUCUGUAAUUAGCUCCUCAUGAGGAGAGUCCUAUCAGAGCCAAGAUAUGCUGAGCCCAACUCACACCGGACUCACACCGGCUCCUGCGUGGAGAUCGUGGAGAUCCAGGGAGGGCAGCCUCACAGAUGAUGUAUUUAUGAGAACUGAUCGUGCUCCCGUGGAACAGAGAACACUAGCACAGAGAGCACUGGGUCCGUGCACAGUAGGUUUUGGAGAGAAUAACAUGUAUUUUGACUCAAUAAAUGCUGCUUGUUUA